Long non-coding RNA from Cucumis melo (muskmelon), 532 nucleotides. RefSeq lists it as uncharacterized. The record is from RefSeq and is a predicted model, not a curated record. The transcript has 3 exons. NCBI's taxonomy places the organism in Eukaryota, Viridiplantae, Streptophyta, Magnoliopsida, Cucurbitales, Cucurbitaceae.
AAGCAAUCAAAUCUAAAGGAAAGGCAAAAGAAAAACAAAUGAAGAAUGAAAAAGAAGUGAAGCAAGUACUGCUCAACCAUCUCUGACUCCAACUCCUAUGAGACGUGCGCGGUCUCGACCCCUGAAGUUGGAGCACUAAGUUCACACCAAUGGGAGGAUUCCAAUGUCGAUCGCCCCUAGCGCGGAGAAGCUUAUUUUUCCACACACUAUUCACUUCAGCCAGACAAUAGGCAUGUGUGUAAGAAAGACAUUUCCAAUCUGCUGCCUUCAGUGGGUAGACAUAGGCAGAGAAUACAUCGAGGUCGUCAAGGGCAACCUACAGCAUUUUUUCGUCCUUGAUUUUGAUGAACAAGCAAUGAAUAGGUUCGUUGAGCAUCAAAUGCUCAGUACCUUUAAAGAGUUUAGGGACCACUGUCACAUGUACUUCAAAAAGUACAACAACCAUGAGGAGGCACGUGCCAACCCACCACAUAUAUUGGUGAGAUGUAUGAAGGAUUGACACUACCUCUGUGAUCAUUACAUGAGUUGCGCA